This 192-nucleotide ribosomal RNA is filed under the name uncultured bacterium. RNAcentral describes it as "partial 16S ribosomal RNA". It matches the Rfam family "Bacterial small subunit ribosomal RNA", at positions 1312 to 1500 of the family's 1533-position model. The record is from RNAcentral.
UCGACUACAUGAAGCUGGAAUCGCUAGUAAUCGCGGAUCAGAAUGCCGCGGUGAAUACGUUCCCGGGUCUUGUACACACCGCCCGUCACACCAUGGGAGUCAGUAACGCCCGAAGUCAGUGACCCAACCGUAAAGGAGGGGAGCUGCCGAAGGCGGGACGGAUAACUGGGGGUGAAGUCGUAACAAGGUAAC